CGGAAUUGCUAGUAAUGGCAGGUCAGCAUACUGCCGUGAAUACGUUCCCGGGCCUUGUACACACCGCCCGUCACACCAUGAGAGUUGGGGAUACCCGAAGCCUGUGAGCUAACUUUUAGAGGCAGCAGUCGAAGGUAGAAUCAAUGAUUGGGGUGAAGUCGUAACAAGGUAGC
This 173-nucleotide ribosomal RNA is filed under the name uncultured bacterium. RNAcentral's name for it is "partial 16S ribosomal RNA". It matches the Rfam family "Bacterial small subunit ribosomal RNA", at positions 1327 to 1500 of the family's 1533-position model. The record is from RNAcentral.